AGCGGCAAAAGCUCAAAUUUGAAAUCUGGCACCUUCGGUGUCCGAGUUGUAAUUUGAAGAUUGUAACCUUGGGGUUGGCUCUUGUCUAUGUUUCUUGGAACAGGACGUCACAGAGGGUGAGAAUCCCGUGCGAUGAGAUGCCCAAUCCUAUGUAAGGUGCUUUCGAAGAGUCGAGUUGUUUGGGAAUGCAGCUCUAAGUGGGUGGUAAAUUCCAUCUAAAGCUAAAUAUUGGCGAGAGACCGAUAGCGAACAAGUACAGUGAUGGAAAGAUGAAAAGAACUUUGAAAAGAGAGUGAAAAAGUACGUGAAAUUGUUGAAAGGGAAGGGUUUGAGAUCAGACUCGAUAUUUUGUGAGCCUUGCCUUCGUGGCGGGGUGACCCGCAGCUUAUCGGGCCAGCAUCGGUUUGGGCGGUAGGAUAAUGGCGUAGGAAUGUGACUUUGCUUCGGUGAAGUGUUAUAGCCUGCGUUGAUGCUGCCUGCCUAGACCGAGGACUGCGAUUUUAUCAAGGAUGCUGGCAUAAUGAUCCCAAACCGCCCGUCU
Molecule: ribosomal RNA, 541 nt
Filed under: Meyerozyma caribbica
Lineage: Eukaryota; Fungi; Ascomycota; Pichiomycetes; Serinales; Debaryomycetaceae
Description: partial large subunit ribosomal RNA
Rfam family: Eukaryotic large subunit ribosomal RNA
Source: RNAcentral